AUUGGAACGAGAAGUAUUACGAAUUUCCUGACCCUUGAAUUGGCAACAAAUUACCAAGGUAUUGAGUUUUUUUAAAUUAUAUACCAAAAAUGACGUUUUAAAAAAUUAGCAUUAAAUUUUUUGUUUAAAAGCAGCUGACAAAAGCAACAAAUCCCAUUCGAAAAUGAGAUUAUUUUUAUCCAAGCAAACUGAAAAGUGACGCUAACAUGAAAAAUAACCAAAGAUAAAAUAAGCUUUAAAUAGCAUGGGCCAAAAUGAUUGGUUAGAACUAUUGACGUCAUCAUUCUAGAAGCUUGUAGAAUGACGAAAUGUCACACCAUUUUCCAUGCGUGAUUCUGUGAAGAGAAGAAGCUGGCGCGGAUUUCCUCUCUUGCGAAGUAGGGUGCCGGUGUCUGGUUAAAUUUUUUGGGCAUAUCUGUAUUUUUCAUUGAUUGUAUUCCUGACAUGGUCUCUGCAGAUAUGUCGUCUUCGGAUGCUCUUCACCCAGCCUGCACAUGGGCCCAGCGAAAUGAUCUCAUAUUCCUCACAAUACUGGUUGAGGAUGUUAAAAACCCUGAAAUCAAGGUAGAAGGAAACAAACUUCACUUCAAAGGCACCGGUGGACCUGACAAGAAAACCUAUGCUGUCGAUAUGGAAUUGUACAAAGAAAUCAAUCCUGAGAAAUCGAAGCAGCUCGUCUCUGGCCGGGGGAUCGACUUUGUGCUAAUCAAGGCCGAGGAGGGUCCCUACUGGCCGCGGCUGCUCAAAGACUCCAAGAAGUGCCACUGGCUCAAGGUGGACUUCAACAAGUGGAAGGACGAGGAUGAGAGUGACGAGGAGGGCGCCGGUGCGCCCGGCGGCGGACCCGGCGGCGACAUGGACAUCGAGGCCAUGAUGAAGCAGAUGGGCGGCCUCGGAGGCAUGGGUGGCAUGGGUGGUAUGGGCGGAAUGGGCGGCAUGGGUGGUAUGGGUGGUAUGGACGGUAUGGGCGCCAACGUGCCUCCGGGGAUGGGCGACGACGACAAAGCAGAAGAGGAGGACUCUGACGACGGGGAUCUGCCCGACCUGGAGGACUAGGAGGCCGUCAGCAAACGGCGACACGACUCUUCAUCCACACCGGACGCGCCAGCACUCCCCCAUCAUCACCCGCGCGCCGCCGCCGCCCCCGCCCGCAGGAGCAGACGCCGCGCCGCCGCCCCCGCCCAGAGCAGCUGGCGCGCCCGUUCGCCGGCCGGCCGUCCGCGCCACCGUUCUGGGUGACCGCCUUGCGUCGGCAGCCAAGUGUUUCCUUUGUAUUGAACUAUGCCGUUCUGUGGUGCAUGUGUUGAUGGGUCGGUCCGUCCGCGGAACGCCAGGCAGUGCCGGCUGACCGCGGCCGGCGGACGUUUUAAAUACAGCCAUAUGUAUUGAUUCAG
This 1394-nucleotide unclassified non-coding RNA is filed under the name Amphibalanus amphitrite. Its description in RNAcentral is "co-chaperone protein daf-41-like, transcript variant X1". Lineage: Eukaryota; Metazoa; Arthropoda; Thecostraca; Balanomorpha; Balanidae. The record is from RNAcentral.